This 626-nucleotide long non-coding RNA is filed under the name Homo sapiens (human). RNAcentral describes it as "HSALNT0370649". Lineage: Eukaryota; Metazoa; Chordata; Mammalia; Primates; Hominidae. The record is from RNAcentral.
UGAUCCACCGACCUUGGCCUUCCAAAGUGCUGGGAUUACAGGUGUGAGCCACCGUGCCUGGCAAGCUUAUUUGCAAAGCAUCAUCUAAAACCCUAGAAAGGAGACAGGGUCUCUCUUUGUUGCCUAGGCUGGAGUGCAGUGGAACGAACUUGGCUUAUUGAAGCAUUGACCACCUGGACCCAAGUGAUUCUCCUACCUUAGCCUCUUGAAUAGCUGUGACAACAGGUGUGCACUACCACACCCAGAUAAAUUUUGUAAUUUUUAUAGAGAGGGCAUUUGACCAUGUUGCCCAGGCUGGUCUCAAACUCCUGAGCUCAAGUGAUACUCCUGCCUCGGCCUCCCAAAGUGCUGGGAUUACAGAUGAAGAAAAUGAGGCACUGAGAGAUUACAUAACUUCCCUUGAGUCAUAUUUGCUUGUAAGUGGUAAGGCUGGAUGUUGAACCCAGGACAAAGGGAGCCCAGUGGAGGAUCCCUGGAGGAGCAAAUAGAAGAAACCCAAAAGGGACUUGAAAGCGGGUCCCCUCCCUCACCUGGAUUCCCAGUCCGAAGAGGAGGAAGCAUCCGCCCUCCUUCCCUCCUUCUGACCCACCCAGCCACCCACCCAAGGUGCCAUUAAAGUUAAUUGU